RNAcentral lists this ribosomal RNA (772 nucleotides) under uncultured bacterium. RNAcentral's name for it is "bacterial SSU rRNA". It matches the Rfam family "Bacterial small subunit ribosomal RNA", at positions 28 to 793 of the family's 1533-position model. The record is from RNAcentral.
GAUGAACGCUAGCGGCAGGCUUAAUACAUGCAAGUCGAGGGGCAGCAUGAGUGUAGCAAUACAUUUGAUGGCGACCGGCAAACGGGUGCGGAACACGUACAGAACCUUCCUUCAAGCGGGGAAUAGCCCAGAGAAAUUUGGAUUAAUACCCAUCAGUAUAGCGGAGAGGCAUCUCUUUGUUAUUAAAGAUUUAUCACUUGAAGAUGGCUGUGCGCCUGAUUAGGUAGUUGGCGGGGUAACGGCCCACCAAGCCUUCGAUCAGUAACUGGUGUGAGAGCACGACCAGUCACACGGGCACUGAGACACGGGCCCGACUCCUACGGGAGGCAGCAGUAAGGAAUAUUGGUCAAUGGACGAAAGUCUGAACCAGCCAUGCCGCGUGGAGGAUGAGGGUCCUCUGGAUUGUAAGCUUCUUUUAUAUGGGACGAAAAAGGGUUUCUAACUCGACUGACGGUACCAUAUGAAUAAGCACCGGCUAACUCCGUGCCAGCAGCCGCGGUAAUACGGAGGGUGCAAGCGUUAUCCGGAUUCACUGGGUUUAAACGGGUUGCGUAGGUGGAUUGCCAAGUCCGUGGUGAAAUCUCCGAGCUUAACUCGGAACUGCCGUGGAUACUGGUAGUCUUGAAUAUCGUGGAGGUCAGCGGAAUAUGUCAUGUAGCGGUGAAAUGCUUAGAUAUGACAUAGAACACCAUUGCGAAGGCAGCUGGCUACGCGAAUAUUGACACUGAGGCACGAAAGCGUGGGGAUCAAACAGGAUUAGAUACCCUGGUAG